UACGGAGGAUGCAAGCGUUAUCCGGAUUUAUUGGGUUUAAAGGGUACGUAGGCGGAAAAUUAAGUCAGUAGUGAAAUCCUGCAGCUUAACUGUAGAACUGUUAUUGAUACUGGUUUUCUUGAAUAUAGUUGAGGUAGGCGGAAUGUGUAAUGUAGCGGUGAAAUGCUUAGAUAUUACACAGAACACCGAUUGCGAAGGCAGCUUACUAAGCUAUGAUUGACGCUGAGGUACGAAAGCGUGGGGAGCGAACAGG
RNAcentral lists this ribosomal RNA (253 nucleotides) under uncultured prokaryote. RNAcentral describes it as "partial 16S ribosomal RNA". It matches the Rfam family "Bacterial small subunit ribosomal RNA", at positions 524 to 776 of the family's 1533-position model. The record is from RNAcentral.